Lolium rigidum is the source of this 645-nucleotide long non-coding RNA. RefSeq lists it as uncharacterized. The record is from RefSeq and is a predicted model, not a curated record. Lineage: Eukaryota; Viridiplantae; Streptophyta; Magnoliopsida; Poales; Poaceae. The transcript has 3 exons.
CUGUGACAGGGGUGCCGGUGGAUAUGUAUGGCGGGACGAGUUACCAGUGCUCUCUCAUGCGGGCAGACGAUGGCGGACUUGGAUUCCUCUUCCUGUCAGACUGGAGCGCGCAAUUGUGGAAGAGGAAGACCGGUUGUGAUGGCGCCGCGUCAUGGGUACUACUACGAAGAACUAUUGAACUGGACAAGCUCCUUUCCCUGAAUCUACGUAGAGAGAAGGUGUCCGGGAUUGUAGGAUUUGCGGAAGAAAACAAUGUGGUGUUCCUGUCGACGGCUCUUGGUGUCUUCAUGAUCCAGCUCGAUUCAUUGCAGUUCAAGAAGAUUUCGGAAACCAACAGCUUUUGUGUCUAUCAUCCAUUUGAAAGUGUCUAUGCGGCAGAUAUGGGAAUUGGUGGUGAUCAUAAUGGGGCUGAACUUUUGCACAGUACCUAAGAUGAUUGGUUGGAUAAAUAUGCUAUCAUGAUGUACUGGAUUGAGUAGGUAUGAGGAGAUGCAGAAGCGGCUUCUUGGUAUAUGCUUCUUGAUGUGUAGGCUCUUUCCUGUGCGCGCGGAGAUUGACCAUCUAUGUUGCAUGUGCCGGUGAACUGUGGUGUGGAAUUAAACGCUUCUGUUUAUUGUCUGGAACUUUUAUCUGGUCCAGCCUUGC